This 13392-nucleotide long non-coding RNA is filed under the name Glycine max (soybean). RNAcentral's name for it is "long non-coding RNA (GMAX_LNC002436)". Lineage: Eukaryota; Viridiplantae; Streptophyta; Magnoliopsida; Fabales; Fabaceae. The record is from RNAcentral.
CCACCGCCACCACGGGACUGAGCUUCGUUAACAGUGAUGUUACGGCCGUCAAGGUUUUGGCCGUUCAUCCCUUCGAUGGCGUCUUUCAUGGACUGCUCCGAGGCGAAGGUCACAAAUCCAAAACCCCUGGAUCUUCCAGUCUCACGAUCGUUGAUAAUCUGAACAUAAAACACGAAAAACCAUCAGAUCUGAAACAAAAACAGCACGAAAACAAAAAACCAGAACCGAAUAGUAACCGAUCGAUCUUCGCCUUUGGUGAAAGGAAGAAGAUGAACGUACCUAUUGGCGUGAGAGUAAUAAAAGAAUCAUAUAGUAACACAAGUAUCAUAAGAUCAAGUAACGCAAACAGAUCAGAGAUCACAGAUCAGAAAGGGAUCGAGAAAAUUCCGAAUCCGAAUCGUGUGAGAUCAGAUGUGAUGCCUGCAACAAACAGACCUUCGUUUCAACGAUUUCGCCGUACUGAGAGAAGGCUCUCUCGAGAGCUUGGUCGUCAGUGGCCCAAGCGAGCCCACCGACAAAGCAACGGUACUCAACAUCUGAAGAAGCCAUCGAAAAUUGUAUAAACCCUAGAAAAUUGGUAUUAAGAGGGGUAAGACUGGCACGAAGAAGACGGAAACCCCAAGCGAUUGUUUUAUAGCUGCUGAAAUUUUAACCAGGGUUACGGCGCGUGUGUUUGACCUAGACUAGGGUUACAGCUAAAUGAAUCAUGGUUCAAAAUUAGGUCAUUAUAAAUAUUGGGCUCAAACUUGGACCCAUGUGAAAUUUUUGUUUAGGCCCAAAUUGAUAGUUACUCAAUUUUCAACACAAAAAUUAUUUAUACUAUGAAUCACAUUGAGAACGUUGUAAGAAAAAAUAUCAUACUAUCUUUUAUAACUCUGUGAAUCACAUUGAAAAGUUUCAUUUAAAAUAAAUUUAUUGAUAACAAAAUUUUUUUUUUAAUAUUAUACAAACUCAAAAGACGAUAACGCGUGAAACAAUCCUCGGUCAAUCUUUUUUCACAAAGACGAUAAUAAUGGAAUCCAUGUGAUCAUUUACACCUGACAUGACAAGAGACAGUUGUCACCUUGCAUGACAAAGACAACAUUUGUCCAAUGACCAAGGUGAUGAGUCAUUUCUUUCUUUCUUUUUUCUUUAUCAAUUAUGACAUCAUUCAUGACCUCAUCAUCCAAUCUCAUAAGAGUAAUUUUAAUGAGAGUUUUUUUUUUGACAAAAACAAUGGUAGGAAUUUUGUAUGAUUUUUUUUUCCAUUGGAGAGCUAUAACUUGGUAGGCCCCAUUUCAAAGAGUUGUCAACUCACUUAUUGUAGAGUGGGUCCAUUUGCAUUAUAUUUAAUUAAAUUAGCAAUGUAUUUUUUUUUUACUCAACAUUAUGGAUCCAUUUGUGAAGCUCCCUAUAGCAAUGAAGGUCCAUCAAAUACCUUACACCACAAUUCAUCAUUAUCCAAAGAGUUGACUUUAGGUUUCUUUGGAGAUGUGAUAACAUAAGAUUCAACACUAAAAGAAGCUCAAUUUUUUUAUAAAAAAAUAAUUUAAUAAUUUUAUAUUAUUUUUGUAUAACUAAAUUAAUUUUUUAUAUCUUUGUUUGUUUAAAUUAAGAUGUGACAUGCGACUAAAAAGUAUUUAUGUUGAUUAUUAAUUUAUUUUUUUAUAUAUUACCUUCAUAAAUUCAUAUUGAAUUAAUUUUUAACUUAUUGUGAUACAUAAGUAUGUAAUUGAUUUAUGAUGACAUAUUUAUUUUUUUAAAACAAAAUAAGAAACACAGAUAAAAAUAAAAUUAUAAAUGAAUAAAACUAAAUGUUGGUAUAUUAAUAAAGAACAAAAAUAUAUAUUUUUAAUAUGAAAUUAUAUUUUAUCGAUGAUAAACAAUAAUGAUUAAACUAAAACAUUUUCUUCAAGAGAUAAAAUAUAUAAUUAAAUUAAAUUAUAUAUAUAAGAAAAUUAAAGUAUAAAAAAUGUGAUAAAUUCCUCAAGAUGAAGAUCAAAUUUAAAAAAUAUAAAUCCACCGUAGAUAAGAUAUAUCACCAACUCAUCUCAUUAUCAUAUUUAUCUUAUAAAUAAAUAUUAUGUAAUUUUUUAAAAAAACAAAUUAAAUAAUAAAUGAUAACAUAGAAAUAAAUUAAAUAAAAAAUGUGAUAUAUUAUUUUGAGGUUUAUUAAACCUAAUUAUUCGUUUAAUGAACAAAACAUAUUGUUUUUAAUAAACUUACAUUAUUAUUUUUUUAUAUAAAAGGGGCCAAAUCUCAAGAUCGACCUUGAUUAUCAAUUACUUCCAUCAAAGCCACCAGACCUGCACCAUCAAAGGAACCUGGAGACAAGCUUCUAUUCUUGUUUUCUUCAGAAAUUUCGUGGCUUUGAGGAAUGGGAGUGUGUGGAGAAAAUUUCUUUAACCUUGCGUAUAUGUUGAUUGAUUUCUUACCAAGAAAACUUAUUUUUUCUGGUUGAUGGCUGGAUGUAAUUAUUGUUACUGUUUGAUUAUUGUGUGGCUUUAUUAGAAAUGUUCAUUUAUGAAGGGAAAUUCUGCCAAAAAGAUUCUCUCCGCAAACAUUUAUUACAAGGGUACAAGAAGAUGUUGUCCUCCCCGCAAACAAGAAGAUAUUAUCACAUAAAUAAAUAUCAUGUCAGAAUCUAAUUUAUAUCUUUCUUGCCAAAAUAACUUUUUUUAAAGCUUUCCAAAUGAAAUUUGAGUUAAUUGUCAAAGAAGUGUAAAGUGUUUAACAACCUCCCGUCUACAAAACUAUUAACCAUGAUCAAAUUUAAAACAUAAAUUGUUGAAUUAAUAAUUAAAUUUAAUUAAUUAAAACGCUUACAAAAAAAUUACUUAAUUAAGCUGCAAAUAUAUAGCUUAUCAGAACCAAUAAGCAAACGGCAUUGGUGCAAUUAAAAUAUUUUCCAAAUAAAAAUCUGUUGAAAUGUGAUAGCACUAUAGUAGUACCCUAAUUUCUGGCAAUCUUUUCAUUUAUUCGAUUCUACACAACCAGAGAUAUAUAGGUAAAAAACCGUAUCCAGGAGCCCCAAACCAAGACAAAUUACCAAACCGUAACACCUAAAAUUACGGAACACAAACAUAGCAAUAAACACUAAUCUACAACAUUAAGCCCUAAUUUCUCCAGCUUCCAUCACCACCACCACGAGAGUAGCGUGAUCCACCGUCCCCGUAAGGUCCGUAACGAUGGUCUCUGUCACCGCCAUAACCACCACCGUUACGGUUAUAUGCACCUUCCCGACGGCCACCGUAUCCUCCAGCACCACCACUGCGGUUGUAUCCACCGCCACUUCCGUAACCGCCACCGCCUCCACCGCGGCUUCCGCGGGACUGAGCUUCGUUCACAGUGAUGUUGCGUCCAUCAAGGUUCUGACCGUUCAUCCCUUCGAUCGCAUCCCUCAUUGAAUCCUCGGAGGCGAAGGUAACAAAUCCAAAUCCCCUGGAUCUUCCAGUCUCACGAUCGUUGAUAAUCUACACAUAAAACCACAAACGGUUCAUCAAAUUGAAAUGAAAAGCAAAACAGCACGAAAACAAAAACCAGAACCGAAUAGAAACCGAUCGAUCUUCUUCUUUGGCAAAAAGAUGAAGAUGAACGUACCUAUUGGCGUGAGUAAUAAAAGAAUCAUAUAGUAACACAAGUAUCAUAUCAUAGAACAAGUAACGCAAAUAGAUCAGAGAUCACAGAUCAGAACGGGAUGGAGAAAUUCCGGAUCCGAAUUGUGUCAGAUCAUAUGCGAUGCGGACCUUCGAUUCAACGACGUCACCGUACUGAGAGAAGGCUUUCUCCAGAUCGUAGUUGUCAGUGGCCCAAGCGAGCCCACCAACAAAGCAUCGGUAUUCAACAUCCGCAGAAGCCAUGGAAAUUUGGAAAAGAGGAUAGGAAUAAGAUUGACAUGCCCCAAGUGAUAGUCUUAUAGCAAGUGAAUUGUUAAUCAGGGUUACCGCGUGCAAGUUGGACCUUAACCAGGGUUAAAUUAGUAGCGACUUUACAGGGGGGAAUAUUUUCUCUUAUGGAGUACUAUUAUUUUUUCGGUGGUACUGUAAUGGAUAACCUGACGUGACGUGCACCACUAUUAUUGGCGUUUUUUCAGAAGGAGUUGUUACGUGUCGUGCAUGCAUGAGGGGGGCGCCACUGAAAGAGCCAUCUUCUUCCUGUCACCACUCACAACUGACACAGACACAUCGUACUUUUUCUUUUUCUUUUUCUAACAUUUAUUACUUUUUGCCACUGCAUAGACUAGCAUAAGUUUAUUGGAAGGAUAAAUAGGUGAGAAAAAAAUUAUAAUAAAUGAUUAAAUUCAGUGCCUGAAUUUAUAUUUUAUUAUCAUAUUAGUUUGUUCUUUUACUUUUUAAAUCUCAUAAAAUUUUAAAUAGAUAAUUCUUUAAAUUAUUUUUUAAUUUUACUAUUUAAUAUGAGAUAAUAAUUAAAUUCUAGGAUCAAAAUGAAAAAAAAUAUCAAAGACUUCAAUGAUUUUUAAAAAAAACUUAUUUAAGUUUUUAUUUUUUAAUUUUAAGAACUAAAAAUAACAAUAAGAUACAAAUUAAGAGAUUAUAUUCACUAUCUAGUAAGAAAAACUAUUUAGAAUUAUCUAAAACAAUCAUAAUAUUUAAAAAUAUUUAUUCAUUAUAAUUUUAAUUAGAUAAGAAUUGUCAGAUUAAAGUAUUAAUUAUAUUAUUUUAACAGGAAUUUUUGCUAAAAAGAUUAUGAAUUUUUCACUUAAGAAACAAUACUUUUUUAUUCUUUUCUAUAGUACAUUUUAACUAAAUGAACAAUUUAUAACAUUCAAAAUUAGAACGUCGCCUGUAAUUGUGUGUUUUCAGACUUCCACGUUUGUCACAUAAAUUGACGUGAGUUAUGUUCUCAAUCAAACGCGUAAGUUAUUAAAUUCUCGUAUUUUUCAACUCGAAAAUUUCAAUAUAUUUUCUUUAACAUAUUGCCUGUAAACAUUUUUAAUCCAAUUUAAUUUAUUGACAAAAUUAACAAUUACUAGUAAAGUUCUUGACAAUUGCAAGUUAAUGACAACUUUUUUCAUAUCCAGCUUACCGAAACAGGUAAACUAAUAGCCAUUCUCCAUUAAAAAUGCAAUCAGAAUAUUUUCUUCGUCCAUCGUAGAUCGUACAAAUGAAAAUCUGUUUAAUACUUCUCCGAUUAUCAUUUCAUUCAAUCGAUUGUACACAAAGAGAUAGAAAGACAGACACCCAAACCACACAACACCUAAAAUUACUGAACUUAAUCAUAAACCCUAAUCUUGUUCAUCCAGCUCUAGUUUCUCCGGCUUCCAUUGACAUCGCCACCACGAGAGUAGCGUGAACCACCGUCACCGUAACCACAAUCUCUGUCACCACCAUAACCACCCCCUCCAUAGCCUCCACCACCACGGUUAUAUCCACCUUCACGACGACCACCGUAUCCACCGCGGCUGCCGCGGGACUGAGCUUCGUUCACAGUUAUGUUACGUCCGUCAAGGUUCUGACCGUUCAUCCCUUCGAUCGCAUCCUUCAUUGAAUUCUCCGAGGCGAAGGUAACAAAUCCAAAUCCCCUGGACCUUCCGGUCUCACGAUCGUUGAUAAUCUGCACGUAAAAACACGAACGGUUCAUCAAAUUGAAAUCGAAAGCAAAACAGCACGAAAACCAAAUCCAGAACCGAAUAGAAACCGAUCGAUCUUCGCCUUUGGUAAAGAGAUGAAGAUGAACGUACCUAUUGGCGUGAGUAAUAAAAGAGAAUUAUAUAAGAAGAAGAAGAAGAAGUAUCAUAGAUCAAGUAACGGAAAAAGAUCAGAGAUCAGAACGGGAUCGUGUGCGAUGGCUGCAACAAACGGACCUUCGAUUCAACGAUGUUGCCGUAGUGAGAGAAGGCUUUCUCCAAGGCAUGAUCGUCUGUGGCCCAAGCGAGCCCACCAACAAAGCAACGGUACUCAACAUAUGCAGAAGCCAUGGAUAACAUAACAGUAUAAAAUAAAAUCCAAAUAGGGAUAAAAAUUGCACGCUGAAAAACUAAACCCCCCAAGGAAUUGCUUUAUAGCAGGUGAAUUGUUGACCUGUGUUAAACUGGUUACAAGUACUACCUACACAUUCGGCUAUUUAACUGAAAAAGUCAAUCUUUCAGGCUUACCGUUUCAUCAGGAGGUUGAAUGGAUCACAUGUUGCCAUGUUGGGCAGGUUGGUAUAAAGAAUUUGGGGAUUUUCUUCCUCCACCCAACACCAUUUUUUUACACCCAACGUUUUGAGUGAAAAAUCAAUUUUACCUCUUCUUCAUUGACACUUAAAUGUCAAAUACAGAUUAAUUGAGAAAUUGUCUGUCUGCACCAUUCAUUCACGCGUUUUUUCAUUUUUUCUCUCAAAUUCUUUCAUCUUCUUCUCUUCAAUCUGUGGUUGUCUUCAUCAAUUCAUGUGUGCUCAUCAGCGGUGUCUGUCUUCAUUUCCCUAUCGCCUUAGUGAGCCGUUGUGAGUUCUGUUGUCUGUAUUUUUUUUUUUGUGUAUUGAACGUAUACGGAUACGGAUUGUCAAUCCGUAUGAAGUAAACGAAAGAAGAAAAAAACUUACCAAUGACAAUGCAGUGCUACUCACGACGACAGAGGAGAGGAAACUCCCGGAAGAGAAACUAGAGAGGAGCCAUGACAGGAACACACACCACGAACAAUACCAACACCAGUUUCACAAAAGAGAAAGAGAAUAUCAACGGUCGUGGUGACAAAAAUUUCAAAUGAGCAGUGUCUUACGAAUUAUCAAUCGGAUAAUCAAUCCAUAGGCUAUACGAAAAAGAGAAAAGAAAGAAUUGAAGAACAAGUAAAAAAUGAUAAAGUUGAAAAUUUUUAAAAUAUGUUAAAUGUAGAAAAAAUUUAUUGGGUGUAAAAAAACACAAGAAUUUGGGUCAAAAUAUGAGUUAGUACAUUUUUGGAGGCCCAAAAAGUUUAUGAUUUUUCAAACACAAACUUAAAUUUAUAACUUUAAUAACUAUUAAAAAAAUAAAACAAAAUCCGAACAUGUGAAAGUCAGAUCUGCAAAGCGGUGCCCAAAACUCUUUUUUGCACAUUAUUCAUUAGGCAACUCAUGAUAUUAUGUCUUCACAGAGCCUUAGUACCAGUGCACUGCAGAUCACAGGAUCUAAUCUCCGGAUACAAAAGCACAAAUAAAUAAUAAUCAGACACUUGCAAGCUUUCAAAAUCACAAAAGUAAAAUGUACAAAAAAAAUUGAUGAAAAAGAAAAAAACUUUGUCCUAAUACAAUAUCUGCAAUAAAAAGGAUAUAUCAUAUAUUUUAAACAAAAAACAAAAAUUAAAAUCAGAUUUUUCAUUUGAAAAUACAACAUGAGCAAGUAUUGUCAUCCAAAAACGAUUGGGGGGAAGGAAAAAAAAUGCCAAUGAUGAGAAAACAACUUCACUAAUUAAAAAAAUUUAAUUAGUGAACUGUUCAGCAAAUGGAAGGUUGUGUGAAUAAUUUGCUCUUAAGAAUCGAUAUUGUUGUAAUUGUUGAGCUAAAUGGAUUCGUCGACUUGUAACUUUGAACACAUUUUUUUUGUUUCUAGCUAUUUUAGUUAUUAUUUAUGUUUAAAUUCUGGUUCUGUAACUUUAUAUAAUGCAUUGAACAGAUCGAGAUUGUGUAUUCGGAAUCUCUUACAGUGAGGAUAAAUAUUUAAUAUUUCGGCUUCAAUCUUGGAACUUUUCUGGUUUGCUUGUUGAUUUCAUUUUCAGGCUUUCAGCUUGGUGAAGUUGUGUCUAUUCUCUCAAGUCUUUACCUAUGUACUUUUUAUGCCGAGUGGGUUUAGAUUCUAGGUGCCAGGUUUUGUUAUUUAGGCUCACCUUGUUGCCAAACAUUUCCCUAGUUUAGUUUGUGGAACUUUGAUUUUACUCUUCCUUAAGUCUUGGGGUUUUGGAUUUUGAGCAUGUUCGUUACAUAGAGCCUUUCAUUUUAGCAUCCUACUGUAUUAAAUGUUAAGUUCUGAUUUAUGAAAUGCAUCUCUAUUGGCUAGUGAUAGUUUGAGCAAUUGGACUUUCAAUUACUUUUAUUUUGUGCAAGGAGCCUACCAUUUCAAACAUGGUCAAUUCCUGAGUAAUUUGUGUUGAUUUGCUUGGGUUAGACAAAAGUUUGGCCAUGUUGUGUUUUAUCAGCUGGUUUCUGGCAUUACUAAUCUUUAAGUGGAGUGUGGAGAUUGCCUUCUUUUCUGUCGCUAAAUUUCAGUUAAGUGUUCCACUUCUAAUUGCCUCUGGUCUUCAACAAGAAGGGGUCCAUUGUUUUCGUUCUUGCAUUGUGGAUUUAUGCAUUUGAGCAUUCUCAAGAGCUUACUUCAGAGUCUGUUGUAAAAAAUAAAAAAAAGAGCUUACUUCAUUAGUUUAUUCAUGAGUCUUAAAAAUUUGGUAACUUCCUUUCAAUGAUAGGCAACUCUGAUUGCGGAAAAAAAAAAUGCAAGCUUGUUUGUAGAAUUGUAGUAAUAUUCUCUUUAAUUUGAGCAGACUUUGACGACUAAUUUUGCACAUCUGUACUCUAUUCUCUUGGAAGUUAUGCGAUUGUAAACAUAACUUGAAGUGAUCGCAACAAGUCCAAAGAUUAUUUCUACUGUUCAAGCUUUAUAGUUAAACUAGACUUUCAACAAGUGCAACGCACGGGCUUUAAUUUUUUAAAAUUAUAUAUAUAUAUAUAUAAAAUUUUAUAUUUAUUUAUAUAAAUAAAAAUAAUAAUUUUUAAAUAUUUAGUAUUAUGUUAAACAUAAUUAUAUUAUCAAUGAAAAAUUUAAUUAAUUAUAUUUUUAAUUGAGUUAAUUUUAUCUUAAAAAUUAAAUAUAUUAAAAUUUAUUGUAAUUUUUGGUUCAUUUAAGUAAUAAUGGUGAUAUAAUAUCUUUUGAAAAAUAAAUGUAUAUAAAUAAAAUUAUUCAUUUUAAAUAUUUUUAAUAGUGAAAUCAAUAUAUAAAUAUUAAAAUUGAAAAAUAAUGUUAAAUAUUAUAUUUAUGCAUUUGUUAUUUAAGGGUUCCACUUGCACUCUGCUUAUUUAGAAAAUUGCGCUAACCUCCAAUGCUUUGUUAUUUUAAGGGGAUUGUGUGUAUAGUCCAUACUCUGUAAAUAAAAGUGAGCUAGAUGUGUGUAAUUUUUUAAAAAUAAUGAGUGUUGAUGAGUAAGGAUCAUAUAUAAAAUAAGGGAGGUAGUUGUUCAUACAAGCAAGGUGCAAGUGUAUUUAGUGCUAACCUUAAGGGAGGUAUAUGUUAUUAAUCCUUUAUGUCAGAUGAUCUUAUCUUGAAACCAGUUGCGUGUUGGUACAACUGGGUUUUAAAUUUUGAUUCUAGUGUAUACUACUAUAAUAUAACUAAUAGUUAUAUGUCAACCACAGUUCUGAAACUUGGUCAGUGUAUUUGGCUAUUGAAAUGUUACAUCCUUUUACUUUACAGUGUUGUAGUUUUCAAAAGCCUUUACCUAGUCAAUGAUUGCUUAGAUAGGUUGGUUGGUUAGUCUCCUAGAACUUUACUUGUCAUUGACACCGAAUGGCACUUAGGGCAAAGGGAGAUAAACAUGAUUCUCAUCUUUAGUUUGCAUAUUGCUUCUGGCUGACAGCUUCUCGUGAGAUGAGAAAAUUCGGAUCUGGUUUUACAUAUUGCUUUUGGCUGACAGCUUGUUUGACUUAACUUUGAUUUUUGAAACUCCUAAUAUUGAGACAAUAUUUUAUUUAAAGAUUUUUUUAGCAUUUGAAAAGUUCCUUCACCCCAACAUAAACUAUUAUUGUCUUUUAAUUUUUUUUUAUCAUAUGACAGCAUUAGAUUGUUUAAUAUAGAAUACUAUUGCUGGAUCUAUCUAUCCAGAAUUAUAAUAUAAUAGUGGAAAAUGCAAUUGAAUGUUUUACAUUCCUUGCCUUGUGUUUAGAUGAAGGAUUUGAAGUGAUCAGUUGCAUUCCACUAUCUUACUGAAUAUGCCAAAAUUAAUUAUAAUAGCAUUGCUUUUUAUGAAGUUCCCUUUGUAAUUGUGUCUAGUCUCCAAAAGUAUGUGACAUACUUAUUCACAUGCAAUGUUAGUAUUGGUAUGUGUAUUUUGUAAGAAGAUAUUUGUUUUAAAUCUCAAAAUAGUAUAUACACAAAUUAUCUUAUAUCAUUAUCGUACAGUUUGGAUUGAAAAGAAAUGGAUCGUAUCAUAGUUGACACUGCAAUUACUUUAAAAAAACGUAAAAGAGAAGAGUAUAAGAAUAUAAUCUUAUUAGUUGUUACUUGUGUUGUUCAUAUAGUUAUUGAUGUAGUGACAUGGUAUCAUAAUAAUUAUUUUGUUAAGGAACCAACCUGUAAUUGGAAAUAGGAACAUUUAGCUUCCUUAAUCGUAUUUAUAGAGUAGAGGGACAGAGAAAUAUUACAUUAAACAACUAAGGCUUAGUAAAAGUGCAUUUUUUAACCUUUGUAAAAUUUUACAAGAGAGGGAUGGAUUAGUAAGAACAAGACAAUUGAAGUAGUAGAUAUGUUUUUAUAUAUCCUUGCUCACAACCUAAAGUAUAUGGUAGUGCAAUUUAGUUAUUGUAGAUCUAAAGAAACCAUAAAUAGGCAAUUCAAUGGAAAUAUUGUGUAUUUAAAUUUCUUAAAAAAUUUUAAAUCCUUCAUCCAAAUACAAUAUACUUUAUUAGGCUAUUAAAAAAUCCAAUUGUGUUAAUAUUCAAUACUAGAGAUGCACUAACGAGUAAGAUUUUGUUUAUUAUGAACUUUUUAAUUUAUUAAAAUUAUAUCAAUAUGACCUUGUUAAGCAUAAGUAUAUAUUUUCUUAGGUAUAAGAAACGUCAAAUCAUCAAUUGAAUUAGUUAUUUUUUAAAAAUUAAAAUCGAUGAGUUAUUUUAAUUAAUAUUGUCAUAAAUUAAAGUUUUAUUCCAACUAUCACCUUAUGUUUAAUAUUGUAAGUGACAAUCAUAUUUAAUGUCAAUACUAUCAAUCCAAUGAAUGAAUAUCUAAUAAAUAGAAUUAACAAGAAAAAAUGAUAUAAAAAAUUUAAUCCUAAAUAAGUUUUAAAAAUAAUAAUUGUUUCUUAUAAUUAGAAUUAAAGUAAAGUAUAAUUUAUUUCUUAUAAACAGAACCUAAGAUAAUAUUAUAUAAGUAGUCUUUUAACUUGUGAAUUGUACAUAAAAAUAUUUAUUUUAUAUAUUUAUAAUUUGUAGUUAAGUAUUUUUUUAGCAUAUAAAUUAUAUUUCAUAUUCAUGAUUAAUAAUUUGUAUUGUGAAACAAUACUGUUUUUAAAUAUUAAUCAUUGUUUCUAAAAUAAAAUAUUAAAAUCGCAAAGAUUAAACGCUAAGAAAAAAAAAAUUAAAAAAACACUUUUGUAGAUGAAAAAUAGUUAGAAGUGUUAUCUUUGACGAAUGAUAGCUAAAAACGCCCAUUAAGCAAAAAAAUAUAAAGAAAUAAUCUAUAAUUAUAUUAAAAUGAAAUUUUACAAUAAAUUAUUACUGAUAUAUAAAUUGCAUGUAAAAUUAAAAUAAAAAAUAAAUUGUAACAUUAGCAAAUUUAAGAUAUAAUUUUUAAAUUAGAAUUAAAAAUGAAAAAUAUUAAAAUGAAUACUUUUUUGGUAGACAUAAAAACUAAUAUUAUUUAAUUUGAAAUUAAAAAGAUAAAAAAUUAAGAAAAAAAAACAUCUAUGAAAAUAUAAUUAAAAAUUUUAACUAAAAUAUAAUUUUCGUCUGAAUUUAUUUUUAUUUAAGACAUUUUCUCUCAUACUUUUAAAAAAAUUAAAAUUUUAGUCUCACAUUUUUAAUUAAAAAAUUUCAUCCACACUUUUAAAAAAAUUAUAAUUUUAAUUCCUAUGGACAACAAUUUCAAAUGUGAAUAUUUGUUAUUCAUUAACGUUGACUACGGGUAGUAACCGAUAAGAACUGAUCGGUGAAUCCAAAUAUUAAUUUUAAAACAUAUUUUAAAAUGUUAAAAAACUGAAUAAAUUAAAAUAAAAAAUUUGACUUUAUUAUUUUAAACUAAAAUCUAUCACAAUAAAAUAUAUCAUCAUUUUAAAUAUAACAAAUUAAUAAUAAUUUAGAUCAAAAUAGUAAUAUGACAAAUUAAUACUGUAAUCCUUGUACAUUUAGAUUAGAUAGAUUAAACGGACGGAUAGUUAGUUAAGUCUGCUGGAUUUAUCACGUUAAAAUAUUUAAUUACUAAUAAGAAGGAACAAAUUACUCUAUUAAAAACUGAAGAGACUAAAAUUGCAAAAUUUUAAUUAAGGUGAAGAAAAUUGUAUUUCUGCCUUAAAACCCCAUGUUUUAAGAGUUGAGAGAAUUGUCAUACCAAAUCUUUAACUUUAAAUAAUUGGUAAUUAGAUUUAUGUUUCAUAGAUUAAGAAUUUCACAAUCCCUCAUGUUGAAUCACGUGCUUUUUAUGCCUCUAUUCUGCCCUCCAUGUUGUUUUUUUUUUGGUGCAGACUGCAGAUCAACUAAAUUAAUUUUAGUACCAAAGGGUUGUUUAUGCAAAUUUUAAAAAAUAAAUUAGUUAUUUUUAUCGUUUUGAGUAUACAAUUUACCGAAUCCGGUAAACUAAGAACCAUCACCAUUAAUCCAAUUCGAUUUCCACGUCCAGCAAACAGAUAGCAAAAUCCAUAGAAAUUUGAUGCGAUAAUUUCUUACUAUCAUUUCAUUCGAUCGACUAUAAACACAACUAGAAUUGUAGGUCAAAAACGAAAACCACAGGAACACGAAACGAAACCAACACAGAUACCGAAACUUAAACCACACACAGACAACACCUUAAAAUAAUUGAACUUAAUCAUAAACCCUAAUUUACAGGGUCAUAUGCCUAAUUUCUCCAGUUUCCAUCGGAUCCACCGCCUUCCCCACCGCGAGAGUAGCGAGAACCACCAUCACCACCGUAACCACGGUCUCUACCACCGCCGUAUCCUCCACCUCCACCCCCACCAUUACGGUUGUAUCCACCUUCACGACGACCACCGUAUCCGCCGCCGCCACCACCACCACCAUAUCCACCGCUACCGCGGUUGUAUCCACCACCACUUCCGAAACCACCGCCUCCACCACCACCACGGCUGGCGCGGGUCUGAGCUUCGUUGACAGUGAUGUUACGGCCGUCAAGGUCCUGGCCGUUCAUUCCUGCGAUCGCAUCUUUCAUUGACUGCUCUGAGGCGAAGGUCACAAAUCCGAAUCCUCUGGACCUUCCAGUCUCACGGUCGUUGAUAACCUGCACACAAAAACACGAUGCAUCAGAUCCAAAGCAAAAGAAAAAACACGAAAACUAACGACAGAACCGAAUAGAAACCGAUCGAUCUUCGCCUUUGGUGAAAGGAAGAAGAUGAACGUACCUAUUGGCGUGAGUAAUAAAAGAAUCAUAUAGUAACACAAGUAUCAUAUCAUAGAUCAAGUAACGCAAAUAGAUCAGAGAUCACAGAUCAGAAGAGGAUCGAGAAAAAAUCCGAAUCCGAAUCGUGUGAGAUCAGUUGCGGUGCCUGCAUCAAACGGACCUUC